Molecule: non-coding RNA, 1014 nt
Filed under: Pongo abelii (Sumatran orangutan)
Lineage: Eukaryota; Metazoa; Chordata; Mammalia; Primates; Hominidae
Source: RNAcentral
CGAGUAGCGGUGGCUGAAGAACGAGCAGGAGCUUGAAUUUCAGUUUUCUUAUGAGGAAUUUUCCAGAAAAGAUAUCUUCACUGUGAAAUAAGUAAAUAAAUGCUCACUCAGUACAACAAAAAUAUCUGCUACAUACUUCCUUCUGUAUGAAUACAUGAGACCUACCUUCAUUCAUGUUUCCUCUAUGAAGCUUUCCCUGAGCUCCAAACACAGAGCUGAGACUUCCACCUAAUGUAGAAAGCUAGCACGAGCCGGCGCUGACAGAUGGAAGACUUGAGAUGUUACAAGAUUAUAUAUGGAAACACAAAAGGAGUGGAGUUUCUGGGUCAUAUGGCAAUUCAUUUGAGGAACUGAGAAGCUUAUUCCACAGAGGCUGAACUGUUUUAUAUUCCCACCAGCAAUGUGUAAGGUUCCAGUUUCUCUACAUCAUCACCAACACUUGCUAUUUUCCAUUUCCUUAAUGACAGCCAUCCUAGGGGAUUUGAAGUGGUACCUUAUCGUGGUUUUGAUUGCAUUCUCUAUUGACUAAUGAUAUUGAGCAUCUUUUCAUGUAUUUUUUGGUCAUUUGGUCAUUUUUCUUUUUUAAUUUUAAAAUUUUGAGACAGGCUCUCACUAUGUUGCCCAGGUGGUCUCAAACUCCUGGGUUCCAGCGAUCCUCAUGCCUCAGUCUCCCAAAGGGGUGGGAUUACAGGUGUGAGCCACUUUGCCCAGCCCAUUUGUAUAUCUCCUUUGGAGAAUAUCUAGGUUCUUUUGAAGGUAGCUGCAUAUAAACUAGCCAAAUUAACAGACUGUGGUUUUUAGACGGCUUUCCAUAUCUACGAGAACUAUUUAGUUCUCAAAACUGGGAAAUGUUUCAGAGGCAUCAUUAAUUCAUAAUCUAAAAAUUUAUCUCAGGUUUCCUUUUUUCCCCCAGAUUCUGUAUCCUCCAUAGUCCUAUUCAUGACAUGGGUCGUUCAUCUCUGUAUUCUAAACCCUCAACAAACUGUAGACACUAAUAAAUAUUUAUUGGAUGAA